Molecule: ribosomal RNA, 425 nt
Filed under: uncultured bacterium
Lineage: Bacteria
Description: bacterial SSU rRNA
Rfam family: Bacterial small subunit ribosomal RNA
Source: RNAcentral
AGGGAAUCUUCCACAAUGGGCGAAAGCCUGAUGGAGCAACGCCGCGUGAGUGAAGAAGGCCUUCGGGUUGUAAAACUCUGUCUUCUGGGACGAACGGAGAGAAGAGGGAAUGCUUCUCUUGUGACGGUACCAGAGGAGGAAGCCACGGCUAACUACGUGCCAGCAGCCGCGGUAAUACGUAGGUGGCAAGCGUUGUCCGGAAUUACUGGGCGUAAAGCGCGCGCAGGCGGCCGUUUAAGUCUGGGGUGAAAGCCCAGGGCUCAACCCUGGGAUGGCCUUGGAUACUGGAUGGCUUGAGGAUCGGAGAGGCAAGGGGAAUUCCACGUGUAGCGGUGAAAUGCGUAGAGAUGUGGAGGAACACCAGUGGCGAAGGCGCCUUGCUGGCCGAUGACUGACGCUGAGGCGCGAAAGCGUGGGGAGCAAAC